Long non-coding RNA from Bombyx mori (domestic silkworm), 327 nucleotides. RefSeq lists it as uncharacterized. Lineage: Eukaryota; Metazoa; Arthropoda; Insecta; Lepidoptera; Bombycidae. The transcript has 2 exons. The record is from RefSeq and is a predicted model, not a curated record.
UAUGUAUUUAAAUAUAAAUAUGUAUUCGAUAUACUACGCAUCGUAGUCACAACGUUCGGCAGAAACCGGUCCAUGCCUAAUUGCUCGAUAAGGACACGACGCAGUUCCUCCCAAGUGGAGUAGGCUGUGAGCGUAGGUAUACUCCGCCGAAUCCCCGUCAACGCCACUCCACCACUCCGCCAGGCUGUCCCGUGGUGGCACUCCGUUCCGAGACUACAACCCUAACCCGAAGCAGACUCAGUCGGUUUUACAUGUAAAACAAUUUGAUUAACUAACACAAUGUGAUAACGUUUUGUAAAUAUGCUUGUAGUAAACAUUUCUCUUAAC